This 253-nucleotide ribosomal RNA is filed under the name uncultured bacterium. RNAcentral's name for it is "partial 16S ribosomal RNA". It matches the Rfam family "Bacterial small subunit ribosomal RNA", at positions 524 to 776 of the family's 1533-position model. The record is from RNAcentral.
UACGAAGGGGGCUAGCGUUGCUCGGAAUCACUGGGCGUAAAGGGUGCGUAGGCGGGUCUUUAAGUCAGGGGUGAAAUCCUGGAGCUCAACUCCAGAACUGCCUUUGAUACUGGCGAUCUCGAGUCCGGGAGAGGUGAGUGGAACUGCGAGUGUAGAGGUGAAAUUCGUAGAUAUUCGCAAGAACACCAGUGGCGAAGGCGGCUCACUGGCCCGGAACUGACGCUGAGGUGCGAAAGCGUGGGGAGCAAACAGG